GGCGGAAUAGUUCAGUCGGAAGAACAGUAGAAUCAUAAUCUAAAAGUCGUUGGUUCGAACCCAACUCCCGCUA
This 73-nucleotide transfer RNA is filed under the name Chlorella vulgaris. It matches the Rfam family "tRNA". Rfam says of the family: Transfer RNA (tRNA) molecules are approximately 80 nucleotides in length. The record is from Rfam by way of RNAcentral. Lineage: Eukaryota; Viridiplantae; Chlorophyta; Trebouxiophyceae; Chlorellales; Chlorellaceae.